GAUGAACGCUGGCGGCGUGCCUAAUACAUGCAAGUCGAGCGAACGGACGAGAAGCUUGCUUCUCUGAUGUUAGCGGCGGACGGGUGCGUAACACGUGGAUAACCUACCUAUAAGACUGGGAUAACUUCGGGAAACCGGAGCUAAUACCGGAUAAUAUUUUGAACCGCAUGGUUCAAAAGUGAAAGACGGUCUUGCUGUCACUUAUAGAUGGAUCCGCGCUGCAUUAGCUAGUUGGUAAGGUAACGGCUUACCAAGGCAACGAUGCAUAGCCGACCUGAGCGGGUGGUCGGCCACACUGGAACUGAGACACGGUCCAGACUCCUACGGGAGGCAGCAGUAGGGAAUCUUCCGCAAUGGGCGAAAGCCUGACGGAGCAACACCGCGUGAGUGAUGAAGGUCUUCGGAUCGUAAAACUCUGUUAUUAGGGAAGAACAUAUGUGUAAGUAACUGUGCACAUCUUGACGGUACCUAAUCAGAAAGCCACGGCUAACUACGUG
This 497-nucleotide ribosomal RNA is filed under the name uncultured bacterium. Its description in RNAcentral is "partial 16S ribosomal RNA". It matches the Rfam family "Bacterial small subunit ribosomal RNA", at positions 28 to 507 of the family's 1533-position model. The record is from RNAcentral.